This 440-nucleotide ribosomal RNA is filed under the name uncultured bacterium. RNAcentral describes it as "partial 16S ribosomal RNA". It matches the Rfam family "Bacterial small subunit ribosomal RNA", at positions 338 to 795 of the family's 1533-position model. The record is from RNAcentral.
CCUACGGGAGGCAGCAGUGGGGAAUAUUGCACAAUGGGGGGAACCCUGAUGCAGCAACGCCGCGUGGGUGAAGAAGUACUCCGGUAUGUAAAGCCCUGUCAGCAGGGAAGAAAAUGACGGUACCUGACCAAGAAGCCCCGGCUAACUACGUGCCAGCAGCUGCGGUAAUACGUAGGGGGCAAGCGUUAUCCGGAUUUACUGGGUGUAAAGGGAGCGUAGACGGCAAGGCAAGUCUGGAGUGAAAGCCCGGGGCCCAACCACGGGACUGCUUUGGAAACUGUGUUGCUGGAGUGCAGGAGGGGUAAGCGGAAUUCCUAGUGUAGCGGUGAAAUGCGUAGAUAUUAGGAGGAACACCGGUGGCGAAGGCGGCUUACUGGACUGUAACUGACGUUGAGGCUCGAAGGCGUGGGGAGCAAACAGGAUUAGAUACCCUUGUAGUC